CCAUUAUUUCUGCAUAUCAGAGACUUUUAGUACUUUCAAUAAUUUACUACUGCUAUCUAGAAGGCAGAGCCAGGUGUACAGGAUGGAACAUGAAGGUGGACUAGGAGCGUGACCACUGAAGCACAGCAUCACAGGGAGACAGUUAGGCCUCCAGAUAACUGUGGGCGAGCCUGACUGAUGCCAGGCCCUCCACAAGAGGUGGAAGAGCAGAGUCUUCUCUAAACUCCCCCAGGGAAAGGGAGACUCUCUUUCCUCGUCUGCUAAGUAGCGGGUGUUGUUCCUUGACACUUUUUGCUACCGCUAGACCACGGUCCGCCUGGCAAUGGGCGUCUUCCCAGAUGUUGGUGUCACCGCUAGACCAAGGAGCCCUCUGAUGGCCCUGUCCAGGCAUAACAGAAGGCUCGCACUCCUGUCUUCUGGUCACUUCUCGCUACGUCCCCUCAGCUCCUAUCUCUGUAUGGCCUGGUUUUUCCUAGGUUAUGAUUGUAGAGUGAGGAUUAUUAUAAUAUUGGAAUAAAGAGUAAUUGCUACAAAUAAUGAUUAAUGAUAUUCAUAUAUAAUCAUAUCUAAGAUCUAUAUCUGGUAUAACUAUUCUUGUUUUAUAUUUUAUUAUACUGGAACAGCUCGUGUCCUCAGUCUCUUGCCUCAGCACCUGGGUGGUUUGCCACCCACAAUUUUCCACAUGCUUCUGGUCUGCGUUCUUUUUUUCUCCUUGCAUCUUCUCAUUCUCUGAUCACCCCAACCUCUCUCUGUCUUCCCUACUCUGCCAGCCUUGAUGGAGACAAGCCCUUGAGACCAGAACUCACCUUUUCCCCAGGUGUGAUAAUCUAUUAGCAAGGUCAGUGUAAUAUGACUGACGGUGAAACGUGUAUUUUUUUCUAUUUAUGCAUUUGAGUACAGUACGUACAAGAAAAAUAAUGGUGUGCUCAAACUGUUAAAUGUUGGAAAAGAAAGAUACAACCCUUACCCAUAUUGUGUAAGUGCCCUGGAGUAGAAGAACCAGCAAGCUCAGACAAAGCACUUGACUGAGAAGACAGACCCUUUAAAGGAAACGGGUUCUAGGGACAAACUCUACGUGGGCCUGUUCUCUUGAUAAGACCGUGAACUCUUUGAGAAAAGAGGCUACUUGUGAAAAUAAUGAGCCCCCUUCGGGGCAGGAGUUCCGGGGUUUGAACCUGCCUUCUUACAUCUUGAGGGCUAAGUGAGUUCCCAAGGCCUCUGUUCAGUGGUUGCUCCGUCAGUGAGCUCAGGUCUGGUGAGUGGCAGGGUCUUCCACCCCCAACCCCACCGGGUGUCAGAGCAAGACACUGUCCCCCAUGGAGCUGGAAUGGGGUGGAGGAGCCCACAUCUGGCACCCACGUGGCCUCCUUGUGACGGACCCACCCUUGCAAUGUUGGAAAGGAAAGUUACAAGUUUCUUUUCCCAAGUUUCCCAGUAGGCUUUGUUCUGUUAGCUUCACGCCUUCGGUCAUUAGCAGACAUAAAUAAACUUUAACCAUUGUUUUUUAUCUUUUUUUUUUUUUUUUGAGAUGGAGUUUCACUCUUGUUGCCCAGGCUGGAGUACAAUGGCACAAUCUCGGCUCACCACAACCUCCGCCUCCCGGGUUCAAACGUUUCUCCUGCCUCAGCCUCCCAAGUAGAUGCCAAGCCUCCCAAGUAGAUACAGGCAUGUGCCACCACGCCCAGCUAAUUUUUUGUAUUUUUAGUAGAGAUGGGGUUUCUCCAGGUUGGUCAGGCUGAUCUCGAAUUCCCGACCUCAGAUGAUCCACCCGCCUCGGUCUCCCAAAGUGUUGGGAUUCCAGGUGUGAGCCACCACGCCCGGCCAACAGUAUUUUCUAAUAACCAGUAUAUUUCCAUAUACAUGUGUACAUGGGUAUUGUGAUUGUUAUCAGGAAAAAAUAUAUUAAAUGGCUGAUAGGAGACCAUGGGACGUAUUUUCUUUCUGCUUUUAAAAAUUAUUCAGGCCGGGUGCGGUGGCUCAUGCCUGUAAUCCCAGCCCUUUGGGAGGCCAACGUGGACAGAUCACCUGAGGUCAGGAGUUCGGGACAAGCCUGGCCAACAUGGUGAAACCCUGUCUCUACUAAAAACACAAAAAUUAGCCAGGUGUGGUGGCAGGCGCCUGUAAUCCCAAUUAGUGGGUUGGCUGAGGCAGGAGAAUCACUUGAACCCAGGAGGUGGUGGUUGCAGUGAGCUGAGAUCGUGCCACUGCACCCCAGCCCGGGUGACAGAGUGAGACUCCAUCUCAAAAAAAUAAAAAAUAAAAAAUAAAAAAUAAAUUAUUCAAUCUUCUUUAUUUUUAUUGUUUUAAUGACUAAAGUUAUUUUUAGUAGAAACAGGGUCUUGCUAUGUUACCCACGCUAGUCUUGAACUCAUUGGCUUAAGCAGUCUUCCUGCCUUAGCCUCCCAAAGUGCUGGGAUUACAGGCAUGCCUGGCUCCUCCACCUUCUUAAAAUAAGCAUUUGUUUUAUAAUUUUUUCCAAGUGUG
This 2484-nucleotide long non-coding RNA is filed under the name Homo sapiens (human). RNAcentral's name for it is "HSALNT0278550". The record is from RNAcentral. Lineage: Eukaryota; Metazoa; Chordata; Mammalia; Primates; Hominidae.